AACGAACGCUGGCGGCAGGCCUCAAACAUGCAAGUCUAGGGGGUGUAGCAAUACAUCACCGGCGGACGGGUGCGUAACACGUGGGAAUAUACCUUUUGGUUCGGAACAACGCAGGGAAACUUGCGCUAAUACCGAAUGUGCCCUUACGGGGAAAGAUUUAUCGCCAAAGGAUUAGCCCGCGUAGGAUUAGCUAGUUGGUGAGGUAAUGGCUCACCAAGGCUCCGAUCCUUAGCUGUUCUGAGAGGAAGAUCAGCCACACUGGGACUGAGACACGGCCCAGACUCCUACGGGAGGCAGCAGUUGGGAAUCUUGGACAAUGGGGGAAACCCUGAUCCAGCCAUGCCGCGUGAGUGGUGAAGGCCUUCGGGUUGUAAAACGUCUUUCGACGGGGAC
Molecule: ribosomal RNA, 393 nt
Filed under: uncultured bacterium
Lineage: Bacteria
Description: bacterial SSU rRNA
Rfam family: Bacterial small subunit ribosomal RNA
Source: RNAcentral